RNAcentral lists this ribosomal RNA (353 nucleotides) under Heteropachylus gracilis. RNAcentral's name for it is "partial small subunit ribosomal RNA". Lineage: Eukaryota; Metazoa; Arthropoda; Arachnida; Opiliones; Gonyleptidae. The record is from RNAcentral.
AUUAGAUACCCUAGUAUGAAUAAGGUUUUAAAUUCGUAUAUUAAUGAGAAUUAAAAGUUUUGGCGGUUAUUGAUUUAUUAAAGGAGCUUGUUUUAAUUAAGAAUUUACUCUUUAUAUCUUACUAAUAAAUAAUGUUUAUUCAUCUCCGUUAUUAAAAAUAUUUUUGGAAGAAAAUUAAUUUAAGAUUUCAGGUCAAGAUGUAGCUUUUGUUAGUCAAUAGAUUAGCUACAUUUAUAUAAUAAGUUGGAGUUUUUAAUAGGAGGAUAAAAAGGAAAUUGAAUUUAAUUGUAAUAUGAAUUAUAAAGUUUUUAUGAAUUAGAGUUUAGUAAUGUACAUAUCGCCCGUCACUCAUA